RNAcentral lists this ribosomal RNA (415 nucleotides) under uncultured prokaryote. RNAcentral describes it as "bacterial SSU rRNA". It matches the Rfam family "Bacterial small subunit ribosomal RNA", at positions 505 to 918 of the family's 1533-position model. The record is from RNAcentral.
GUGCCAGCAGCCGCGGUAAUACGUAGGUCCCGAACGUUGCGCGAAUUUACUGGGCGUAAAGGGUCCGUAGGCGGUCUGGUAAGUGGAAGGUGAAAUCCUGGGGCUCAACUCCAGAAUUGCCUUCCAAACUGCCGGACUUGAGGCAGGGAGAGGUCGGCGGAAUUCCCGGUGUAGCGGUGAAAUGUGUAGAUAUCGGGAGGAACACCAGUGGCGAAGGCGGCCGACUGGAACUGACCUGACGCUGAGGGACGAAAGCCAGGGGAGCGAACCGGAUUAGAUACCCGGGUAGUCCACGCCCUAAACGAUGUCUACUAGCCGUUGCGGGUAUCGACCCCUGCAGUGGCGCAGCUAACGCGAUAAGUAGACCGCCUGGGGAGUACGGCCGCAAGGUUAAAACUCAAAGGAAUUGACGGGG